RNAcentral lists this ribosomal RNA (1222 nucleotides) under Bacillus sp. ACHSOC777. RNAcentral's name for it is "bacterial SSU rRNA". It matches the Rfam family "Bacterial small subunit ribosomal RNA", at positions 111 to 1319 of the family's 1533-position model. Lineage: Bacteria; Bacillati; Bacillota; Bacilli; Caryophanales; Bacillaceae. The record is from RNAcentral.
UAACACGUGGGUAACCUGCCUGUAAGACUGGGAUAACUCCGGGAAACCGGGGCUAAUACCGGAUGGUUGUUUGAACCGCAUGGUUCAAACAUAAAAGGUGGCUUCGGCUACCACUUACAGAUGGACCCGCGGCGCAUUAGCUAGUUGGUGAGGUAACGGCUCACCAAGGCGACGAUGCGUAGCCGACCUGAGAGGGUGAUCGGCCACACUGGGACUGAGACACGGCCCAGACUCCUACGGGAGGCAGCAGUAGGGAAUCUUCCGCAAUGGACGAAAGUCUGACGGAGCAACGCCGCGUGAGUGAUGAAGGUUUUCGGAUCGUAAAGCUCUGUUGUUAGGGAAGAACAAGUACCGUUCGAAUAGGGCGGUACCUUGACGGUACCUAACCAGAAAGCCACGGCUAACUACGUGCCAGCAGCCGCGGUAAUACGUAGGUGGCAAGCGUUGUCCGGAAUUAUUGGGCGUAAAGGGCUCGCAGGCGGUUUCUUAAGUCUGAUGUGAAAGCCCCCGGCUCAACCGGGGAGGGUCAUUGGAAACUGGGGAACUUGAGUGCAGAAGAGGAGAGUGGAAUUCCACGUGUAGCGGUGAAAUGCGUAGAGAUGUGGAGGAACACCAGUGGCGAAGGCGACUCUCUGGUCUGUAACUGACGCUGAGGAGCGAAAGCGUGGGGAGCGAACAGGAUUAGAUACCCUGGUAGUCCACGCCGUAAACGAUGAGUGCUAAGUGUUAGGGGGUUUCCGCCCCUUAGUGCUGCAGCUAACGCAUUAAGCACUCCGCCUGGGGAGUACGGUCGCAAGACUGAAACUCAAAGGAAUUGACGGGGGCCCGCACAAGCGGUGGAGCAUGUGGUUUAAUUUGAAGCAACGCGAAGAACCUUACCAGGUCUUGACAUCCUUUGACAAUCCUAGAGAUAGGACGUCCCCUUCGGGGGCAGAGUGACAGGUGGUGCAUGGUUGUCGUCAGCUCGUGUCGUGAGAUGUUGGGUUAAGUCCCGCAACGAGCGCAACCCUUGAUCUUAGUUGCCAGCAUUCAGUUGGGCACUCUAAGGUGACUGCCGGUGACAAACCGGAGGAAGGUGGGGAUGACGUCAAAUCAUCAUGCCCCUUAUGACCUGGGCUACACACGUGCUACAAUGGACAGAACAAAGGGCAGCGAAACCGCGAGGUUAAGCCAAUCCCACAAAUCUGUUCUCAGUUCGGAUCGCAGUCUGCAACUCGACUGC